This 391-nucleotide long non-coding RNA is filed under the name Schizosaccharomyces pombe (fission yeast). Lineage: Eukaryota; Fungi; Ascomycota; Schizosaccharomycetes; Schizosaccharomycetales; Schizosaccharomycetaceae. The record is from RNAcentral.
AAAGUCUUAGAAUUUUCAUUAUGUACCCAGAUUUUUUUAUAAUUUUUUUUUAAAUAUUGCCUAAAAUUAGAUGCCCACGUUGAUAAUGCAAAAUUUUUCACGCCAUGGUUGUUUAUUCGUUCUUCUUACGUGACGAUGUUUGACUGUUGAAUUGCGACAUUUUUUUACUUAAAAAUAUGAUACACAGUGGCACUCUAUUGAUUAUUUUUCUUCAUUUUUUUGUAUUUGCAAUGUAGUUUUAUAGUCUUCAGUAGUAUAGUAAUUCAGGUGGUCUUACCUUUGGGUUCUUUGACAUGAUUAUAGUGUUCAGUAUAUUUCCUUAGGUUGGUACAAGGAGCGCGUAGGCUGGUUGAUGCCCAACCAAGUAAUCAUGGUUGAAAACAGUUUUUAG